This 317-nucleotide ribosomal RNA is filed under the name uncultured eukaryote. Its description in RNAcentral is "partial large subunit ribosomal RNA". It matches the Rfam family "Eukaryotic large subunit ribosomal RNA", at positions 40 to 350 of the family's 3401-position model. The record is from RNAcentral.
AUAUCAAUAAGGCGAGGAACAGAAACCAACAGGGAUUCCCCCAGUAGUGGCGAAUGAAGCGGGAAAAGCUCAUAAUGAAAAUCGGGUGGCUCAACAGUCAUUCGAGUUGUAAUCUAAAGGCUUGUUUUCUGCGUGUGACCCGGGUAUAACUCUUUUGAAACAAGGGAUCAUAGAGGGUGAAAAUCCCGUCCAUGACCCGGAGUUCGCCGCGUACGAUACAUGUCCAAAGAGUCGAGUAGCUUGGGAUUGCUGCUCAAAAUGGGUGGUAAACCUCAUCUAAAGCUAAAUAUUGGCCAGAGACCGAUAGCGCACAAGUA